GGAAAAAAUUUUCUUAAUAUUAAAGUAAGAAAAAAAAGCUAGACUAUUUUUAUUUUUAAUUGAUUAUGAUGAAUGAAUAAAAAAGAAAUACUUAUUAACUCAUAAGAUAAUAAAAGAAAAUAUUUCACUUCCAUAGAAUAUCGUUGGUCUAAUCCUAGCUUCAUAGAAGCUUUAUGUUUGCUUGUGUAAGGAAAAAAGUAAUUUUAUUUUGCUUAGCUUCUUCUAUUUUUUUUAAUUCUUCUUUUUUGGAAUAAAGGUUUAGUUUA
This 266-nucleotide unclassified non-coding RNA is filed under the name Hevea brasiliensis (rubber tree). The record is from RNAcentral. Lineage: Eukaryota; Viridiplantae; Streptophyta; Magnoliopsida; Malpighiales; Euphorbiaceae.